GGAAUCGGUAGCCUCCCGCCCAAGGUCUGCAGGCUUUCUUCCGUUCUUGGGCUCUUUGGGCCUCGCCCCUCCCUCUCACAUUCCCAACUCCCAAGGACAACUUGUCGCUGGCUUCAGACGCCCGCCCCGCCUGAGGUUUCCUUGUGUCCCGGACUCUGCUGUUUUCUUUUGUCUAAUUUGUCCAUUUCUGCACUUGGCAAUUUCUUCCGGAACUAACUUGAAUCUACUUCUCCCUUGUCUGUAAUAGUCAGUUUCUCUCUCUCUCUCUCUCUCUCUCUCUCUCUCUCUCUCUCUCUCUCACACACACACACACACACACCCCGUCUUCUUUUCUUCCUCCUAGCCAUCACUGGGUUUUCCAGCUGGCUCUGGCCUGUCCCUGGCACCUCCCCGCUACCUACUGAUCCGACGGCGCCCAAGGCGGUGUAGGCUGGUAAGAUUGCUCCCGGGAAGGAGGCUCCGGGAUGAUCCACGCGGCCGCGCCCCGCACCCACCGGCGGCGCCAGGGAGACGCAGAGUUCUCCAGAUCCUCCAAGCGCCUUCGGCGCCACCACACCAGACACUCACUGUUCACGAGGCCUCAAAGCGUGGAGGCGGUGGCCGAUUCCCCGGUGACCGCCAAUUUGGUCCCAAGACACUUCAGGAUCUCCCAACCGAUGGAGGACAGAGAGGUUCCAAGAGAGGGCGCCAAAGGCGACGCGCUGGCGGCCAGCUCCAAGCCAACCAGACCCAUUGCGUCCGUCUGCAGGAACCUGUCUCUUCACCCUGCUUUGGACACUGAGCUUCAGAGGAUCUGGCUGCGUGCUGAAUCAACGCCAGGGCGCCGCCUAGAGGACAAGAGGGGAUAUAAACUGUUUGAAGUUCAUCAGCACGGUGAAGUUUUAUUGUAUUUCCGGUCCCUAAGAUUUACACCCUGAAAAGAGAAGCCGGCAGCCUGGCAGACUCCCUCCAUACCUCCGAGUUUCCACGCCAGAGACACACAGUGGCCAAGCGGACACUUUGCUUUCCGGGAGCAGGGAGGGAGGGAGCCGGCUCCGACCGACUCUCCCUCAAAGGCUCAGGUAAGUCUAAGAGGCCUCUGAUAGUUGUGGUGACUGAGCCACAACCUGUGAGGAUGUGCGAAGUGACUUUGUAGGGAUGGAAGAGAGCGGGAGACA
This 1157-nucleotide long non-coding RNA is filed under the name Mus caroli (Ryukyu mouse). Its description in RNAcentral is "lncRNA (MGP_CAROLIEiJ_G0004801.1)". The record is from RNAcentral. Lineage: Eukaryota; Metazoa; Chordata; Mammalia; Rodentia; Muridae.